Long non-coding RNA from Ruditapes philippinarum (Manila clam), 757 nucleotides. RefSeq lists it as uncharacterized. The record is from RefSeq and is a predicted model, not a curated record. NCBI's taxonomy places the organism in Eukaryota, Metazoa, Mollusca, Bivalvia, Venerida, Veneridae. The transcript has 3 exons.
AUAGGCCUUUCUCAAAUUAUAUGCAUACUUUACAUUCCAUCACCAGAGAGAGGCUAACAGGGCAUGAAUGUAAACAAAUAAUGUCUGACCUGAUAAGCCCUAGUGUGUUAAACUUACUGGGGAAAUCUCAUUUAUAUUCCACUCUGUUAUUCCAAUUGUAGAUAUGAUUAUACAGUUAAUUUUCAUAAAAUACCUAAGGAUGUGAGUUUAAUAAAGGAAAGGAUUGUGAAAAUAAGAUGGAUGAAAGAACAUUUCAAGAUCAAUAUUUUGCAAUAGUUGCUCGUUUUGAAGCUUUUCAAACAAUAAGAUUAACAAUCAUGGACAUAAAUUCAUAUAUGUCUGAAGAUAAUAGAUGUACCCUGUAGAUGGUUCGACUGGAGUAAUAAUGAACAGACCAGUAUGAUGAACACUAAAGAAGAAGAUUUCAUUACCAGAUGAAAGGAAUUCCACUGGUAACAGUCAUGAACACAAAUUGACAACUGGAAUUUGAAUCGCCUUUGAUUGUAAUAUCUCUUCAUGUCAAUGACAUAACAGAUGAAAAAGAAACUAUUAAACAGCUCAAAAAAGAAUUACAGAAAACUAAGGAAGAAAACAAACAGUGAUAUUGAACGUUUGAUACAAACAAAUUUUCAAAUGUUGACAGUUGUGUUUUUUGUAAUGUUAUACAGGAUUUCCAACAAAAUUUACAAUAUAUUCAUUACAGUUUUCAAUGUUAUAAAACAUCAGCAAAACAUUAAGAGCAAGCAAAACAAUCAGC